This is an RNA transcript of Cephus cinctus (wheat stem sawfly), 3206 nucleotides long. RefSeq lists it as uncharacterized. The record is from RefSeq and is a predicted model, not a curated record. The transcript is spliced from 8 exons. Lineage: Eukaryota; Metazoa; Arthropoda; Insecta; Hymenoptera; Cephidae.
UACCAGUCGCCGACGGGAAGUUCAUUUUUGUUAGAGUAUAGGAAAUUAUUUUUCGACUAAUAAAAAUAUCAAGAACGGUCCGUAUGCAACCGGUAUACUUCUCGCAAUGCCAUUAUGUCUGACGGGUUGCAUACGCGCAGGCACGACUAGCGUCAUAUACAUUUUACUCGUACAGUACAUUUUCAUACGAGUCUAUAAAUCACGCACUUUGUUCCCAUGGGGUAAUUAUCGACCAGCACAUGCUCCAAGUCGCAGUAUCGUUCCGCGCGGUGUAGAUCUCGUAAAAACAAAACGAUUUUUCUAGAUACCGUUAUGGCGAUCCUAAGAAUCGCUCGAAUCCAUCAGCUCGAUCUACCUUCCUCGAAUACGUACCAAGCGCCCGUGUGACUAUUCACAGUGUCUCGCGUAACUUUGAUCUACGGACAAAGAAUAAUUUGGCCUCUUCGCAUUCAGCAUCCGGUACACGGCAUAGAGGUAGACCUCAUACCUGGACUUACGUAGGUAUAAAAAAUAAGACGAAAGACAAUGGCAUCGGCAUUCUAAGAAAAAUUUAUACCCAAGGCAGGUGCUCAAUCUGAACGAUUAUCGAGAACGUGUCUGGAGGUCUCCAGAGGAAUUGAGUGGAAGCUGCCUGAGGUAUGAGGUGUCCGAGUUCACGAGGAGAGUACAGAAGAAGAAAAAGGAUGCAGUGGAAGGUGCCCGCCUAGUGGCGAAACAAAGUGGACCGGGACAAAGUCCUGUCGACGAGUUCCUUUGAUGGGAUCUAUGGAAAAUCCUUAAUCCCGGACGAGGACCUUAGCAAAGGGCAUGGGUAAUCGUAUACGAGUCUGUAUGCAUCUGGACUGGAGUACGUGGCACCACGGCAAGUACGCAAGUACCAACGUACAAGCGUAGCAAUGUACACAAGCAUGCGGCAAUAGCUUUAACAGAAUCGAGCGAGCGAGUCAGUGAGGGCAAAGCAAAAGCAAGUCUUGGCGAGUAACAGUGGGCGACCCUGCUGCUGGCUGCCGACAGCAUUCCUACAGACACGCCGCGGACCCACACGGCACACACAAUAUGACACACCAGGACGCAAUGUACGUAACCCAACGCAGCACAGCGCACUGCGUCACCACGGAGCCAUCCGUCUGUUUAUCCGUCAGUUGAAUCUUCGCCCGGAAGUACAAUAGAAGUGGAGGGCCGGUGCGAUGCAGCGACCCCAAAUAAUAGGCUGCCUCCGAACGAGACGGAAGAGCUAUGUAUGUCGCUUGGGCCGGAGUUAAGCAGAUCGUAGUUGCCAUGGCAACUCCCGUUCUCGAUGAACCACUUCCGGUCUACGUCCGGGAGCCGCACUGCUCCUCCUUGGCUUUCAUAACGCGUCCGUUCCUCGUCACGGCGACUCCACUACGAGUCUCCGGUGUCCUCUCCAGGUAGAACGGAAGGACCCAGUGCCAAUUACGUGCCUACUACCUAUGUCGUGGAAACGAUGAGGAUCCUGGGACACCUGGAAGGGAUUUUCUCUAAAGUUUUCAGGCUAUCGUGAGAGAUCGACUGCGAUCGAGAAAUUCCGAGGGAUACGGAAAAGUUAGUCCACCGUUAUGGCUUAUCUUUUUCUAACCUGAGCACUCGUGUUCUCUAAAUGCCACCGCCGAGGGAGAAAGAUUAAGUUAAACCACUAAUGGCAGAUCAUGCGAGAGACAAGACCAAAAGGGACUCCGAUCAUCCGGCUCUCCCGUGACGCUCAGGACGAUGGAGCUGCGCGCGCCUGAAAUAACGCAGUCGUGCGGCCGAUGUCAAUGAUCGGCGAACGGGCCCACGAAUCUGAACCGAGCACGUCCGUUUAAAUGUUCCUACCUGGGAAUCCUGUAUCCCUCCACUGUCUCCGCAUCUCGUACGCGUAAAGGUACACACGUGACUCGCGCAUCUCGGUGCACCACGUCAGGUAGCGGCUGCGAUGCCGAGACCUCGGUGAAAGUAUGCACGACCUCAGAAUAAAGUUUUGCGUACUUUAGGACACCGGUGACCUCAGGGACCCGAUGACAUCCACCCACCAUCCAUCGGACAACCUCAGCGACGAAUCCAGAAUGUCCCUACAAGGAAAAAGGAAAAGGAUCCAAGGUCCGUUCAGUACCGAUAAACAUCCUGAUCAUACGUCAAGGUUCACUUGUCAGUCUCGACAAGGGAGCGUUCAGCAGGGUUCUCAAAGUCCGCAAGCGACUCCCUUAUUCAUACAGCCGGCACGUCUUCAUUAACUCGCGUACGAGCCGUGGAUGAUUUUGCAGGAUCUCCUUUCUGCCUUCUACCGGGUGGCUUUGUGUCUCUUCACGGUCACUUACGACAGCACGAGCUACCGGUCCACGAAUUAUCUCUAGCGUGGAAAGAAGUCGGACGCACUCUUCCAGAAAUAACUGUAAGGACCAAUCGAACUUGGGAUAGCGAAGGAUGAUGAGCCUCCCGAUCGACCUUGAAAACAACGCGCAAUUGCAUUUCUGUCGCACGGCUCGAAGUACGUAUGCUUCGUUUACAUUCGACGCAUAUUCUUUACACGUGGUAUAAUGGCAAUAAUUAACUGCUGGUACAAAGAGCAGCGAUUACUUCAUACGGAUUGCGUCAGUGACGUUGGACUUGGGUAUUGGAUCCGGACGGGACAAUUAAUACCAUAGUCGUAUAAUGGUACGGUCAAUGGCACAUUAGUAACAAUUAGUAUUCAUCGAUGGUGUUAACGUUGAAAAGGGUAUGAGAUUUCGCAAAGAUGCUCCUUUUCAAAAUAACAUCAAAUAUCAAUAGCCUCCGCUUGGCUUGACGCAAGUACCAAAGCGUCAUGGCAUAAAUUGCGCCAAGUUUAAAUACGACGCGUCAUUACCCUCUCCCGUCGCUGGAAUCAAAUUCACUAAAUAGGAUCUCCACCUUAAAAAAGGUAAAUCUGGGUUGACGCAGGCGAAGACCCCGAUGGAUCUGCAUUGAACGACCAAUGUGGACGUCACCUUGGAAUACGUAUACAUAAAUAUAAAAAUUUGUCUGGGUAAAAAAAAUACCAGAAGCCCAACAAAUAAAAUAUCAGCUGCAGACGGACGCAACUGUCCGGUCCUGCCACCAGGUGCAUCAACGGAAAGUCGUGGCUUCCUUCGACUAAUUUACUUCUUUGGCUUAAGGAAGGGGAUGAAAAAAUGGAUUGUUAUGUUUAACCCCAUGGUUUUCGAAUAAACAUACGCAGUGGGUAGUUUGGA